This 497-nucleotide ribosomal RNA is filed under the name uncultured bacterium. Its description in RNAcentral is "partial 16S ribosomal RNA". It matches the Rfam family "Bacterial small subunit ribosomal RNA", at positions 28 to 507 of the family's 1533-position model. The record is from RNAcentral.
GAUGAACGCUGGCGGCGUGCCUAAUACAUGCAAGUCGAGCGAACAGAUGAGGAUCUUGCUCCUCUGACGUUAGCGGCGGACGGGUGAGUACCACGUGGAUAACCUAACUAUAAGACUGGGAUACCUUCGGGAAACAGGAGCUAAUACCGGAUAAUUUAUUGACCCGAAUGGUUCACUAGUGAAAGACGGUUUUGCUUUCACUUAUAGAUGAAUACGCGCCGCAUUAGCUAGUUGGUAAGGUAAAGGCUUACCAAGGCAACGAUGCGUAGCCGACCUGAGAGGGUGGACGAGUAGACGGGAUGGGAGACUCGGCCCAGACACCGACGGGAGGCAGCAGUAGGGAAUCUUCCGCAAGGGGCGAGAGCGUGACGGUGCAACGCCGCGUGAGGGAUGAAGGUCUUCGGAUCGGAGAGCGCUGUUAGUAGGGAAGAACAAAUGUGUAAGUAACUAUGCACGUCUUGACGGUACCGAAUCAGAAAGCCACGGCUAACUACGUG